CCAGACUCCUACGGGAGGCAGCAGUGGGGAGUAUUGCACAAUGGGGGAAACCCUGAUGCAGCGACGCCGCGUGAGUGAAGAAGUAAUUCGUUAUGUAAAGCUCUAUCAGCAGGGAAGAAAAUGACGGUACCUGAGUAAGAAGCCCCGGCUAACUACGUGCCAGCAGCCGCGGUAAUACGUAGGGGGCAAGCGUUAUCCGGAUUCACUGGGUGUAAAGGGAGCGUAGACGGCGAUGCAAGCCAGGAGUGAAAGCCCGGGGCCCAACCCCGGGACUGCUCUUGGAACUGCGUGGCUGGAGUGCAGGAGGGGCAGGCGGAAUUCCUGGUGUAGCGGUGAAAUGCGUAGAUAUUAGGAGGAACACCAGUGGCGAAGGCGGCUUACUGGACUGUAACUGACGUUGAGGCUCGAAAGCGUGGGGAGCAAACAGGAUUAGAUACCCUGGUACU
RNAcentral lists this ribosomal RNA (446 nucleotides) under uncultured bacterium. Its description in RNAcentral is "bacterial SSU rRNA". It matches the Rfam family "Bacterial small subunit ribosomal RNA", at positions 331 to 794 of the family's 1533-position model. The record is from RNAcentral.